This 1965-nucleotide unclassified non-coding RNA is filed under the name Hevea brasiliensis (rubber tree). Lineage: Eukaryota; Viridiplantae; Streptophyta; Magnoliopsida; Malpighiales; Euphorbiaceae. The record is from RNAcentral.
UUCGGAGCGAAAUUCACCCACGAGACAGAAAAGGGACACACAAAAUAUAGCUCCUCAUUAUCUCACUCCUUCUGAGCCCCUCCCCUAGACCUACCUUUACCUUAUCAAUAUCAUCAUUUCCCUUUUCAAUUUCUCAUUUUUCCUAAUACCCAACAAAAAUUUUUCAUCACUGCUUCAAUAAUCGAUCAAAUUCCCCGCUCUUUCUACUGUUUUUAACGAUUUCUGUUGGGAUUUUGGAGCUAUAAUCAUUUUCUUUCUUUAAAAAGGGAGCUAUGGAUGCUGAUUCGUGGAGCGCUCGUCUCUCUUCGGCCUCUAGGCGAUACCAAUCCGUCCUUCAAUCGCGAUCUGAUAUGUUUAUAGGUUUCGAAGAAAUUGAUGGAGAUGAUGAUAUAAGGGAGGAGUUUCCUUGCCCAUUCUGUUCAGAAUAUUUUGAUAUUGUUGGCCUGUGCCGUCAUAUUGAUGAUGAGCAUCCCGUGGAGGCAAAGAAUGGGGUAUCUCCUUUUAAUAGCUGAAUUGCAUAUAUUGUUAAUUAUUAUAGCAAAAAAAUUACUUCUUAAAUAAGAUUCUGUGCUUGUGCCUGGCUCAGAAUGCUACUUCAUGGUUAUGAUUUCGAAAUUAUGUGGUUGUAUAAAAUAAAUAUUUUCAGGCUCAUAAAAAAUUUGCAUAAGCUUAGCACAACUUGAUUUUGGUAGCCUUGAAUCGCAACAAGUUGCAUUAAGUUGAGCAGCAAGGGGAUUUGCGUACAAAACUGGCCUUCAAGUUGUGUGAAGUUGAGUUGGACUCGAUGCAUUGUUGUCACGUGCAACAAUAGUAUUCUUCAUUUCUUCUAGCCUUAAUUUCUUCUGUUUGAUGAUUGGGGAAAUCAUUCCUUCUAUGUUAUAAACAGUUAAUGUUAGUCUCUUGAUGAAUAUGAAUGCAAAUAUUAACAAUGAGAUGAGAAACCUUGAUUUUACUGACUUCAGCUUAUGUUGAGGUUUACCUUAGCUGGUGGGAAUGGGUUUUGACAACCCACCUAAGAACUUCAUCAUAAAUAAUGCUGAGACUUCGGCCUUUAGUGUGGCGAACAUUAUUGUAGGAUAGGAUGGAUUAUGGUAUAGGAUAACAGGACUAGCCUUCUUUUUCCAGGUCUCUGAAACAUUAGAACUAAUUUCCUAUCAUAUAUGAGUUUCAUUUACAGGCUUUGUAUUUUUGGGAAAGAGAUUUUUGUUUGUUACAUAAUAAUGGAUUAAUGCAUGUUUCUUUCUAAUGAUGAGAAGAUAUUUUUGAAGUUUAACUUUGCUCAUGAUAUUUGCUUUUUAUCACAGGUUUGUCCAGUUUGUGCAAUGAGGGUGGGGGUUGAUAUGGUUGCGCACAUAACCUUACAACAUGGAAAUAUAUUCAAGAUGCAGCGGAAGAGGAAAUCACGAAAAGGUGGACAUCAUUCAACGCUUACAUUAUUGAGGAAAGAGCUGCGAGAAGGAAGUUUACAAUCCCUUCUUGGUGGAUCCUCCUGCUAUGUUUCUUCCUCCAACACAGAACCAGAUCCAUUGCUUUCAUCAUUUAUAUUUAAUGCACCUUCUCUGGAUGAACCUCUGAAUAUACAGCCUCUUUCUUCAGUUGAAGCAGGCUCAGUGAAGGGGAGCACGACUGAGGAGUUUCGGGAAAGGUAAACCACUGGUGCAAUUUUUAAUUUCUCAGUUUGUUAUUUAGAAGUGUACUAAAGAGCCUGCAACCUCUGUGAAUCAAUUAAAUAGACUUUGUUUAAAAUGAUAAGAGUGAUGAGUGAAUUGCAUUGGUUGUGAUUAACUAUUCCUUCUUAUAUAUUUUGAGAGCUUUUUUUAUCAGUAUUAUAGAGAAAGUGAAUUAUUAGUUAUUUAUCUGGUCAUAUUUGUUGAUAUAGUGAUCUUAAUGGCAUUGCUAGGGGAACAGUUUAUUUGGUUUCUAACAUGAAUUUAAUACUGACAGAAAAGUCGAACAGUCACCGCU